Molecule: ribosomal RNA, 1335 nt
Filed under: Klebsiella pneumoniae
Lineage: Bacteria; Pseudomonadati; Pseudomonadota; Gammaproteobacteria; Enterobacterales; Enterobacteriaceae
Description: partial 23S ribosomal RNA
Rfam family: Bacterial large subunit ribosomal RNA
Source: RNAcentral
UAUCCAGGCAAAUCCGGAUAAUCAAGGCUGAGGUGUGAUGACGAGGCACUACGGUGCUGAAGUAACAAAUGCCCUGCUUCCAGGAAAAGCCUCUAAGCAUCAGGUAACAUCAAAUCGUACCCCAAACCGACACAGGUGGUCAGGUAGAGAAUACCAAGGCGCUUGAGAGAACUCGGGUGAAGGAACUAGGCAAAAUGGUGCCGUAACUUCGGGAGAAGGCACGCUGGUGUGUAGGUGAAGUCCCUGCGGAUGGAGCUGAGACCAGUCGAAGAUACCAGCUGGCUGCAACUGUUUAUUAAAAACACAGCACUGUGCAAACACGAAAGUGGACGUAUACGGUGUGACGCCUGCCCGGUGCCGGAAGGUUAAUUGAUGGGGUUAUCCGUAAGGAGAAGCUCUUGAUCGAAGCCCCGGUAAACGGCGGCCGUAACUAUAACGGUCCUAAGGUAGCGAAAUUCCUUGUCGGGUAAGUUCCGACCUGCACGAAUGGCGUAAUGAUGGCCAGGCUGUCUCCACCCGAGACUCAGUGAAAUUGAACUCGCUGUGAAGAUGCAGUGUACCCGCGGCAAGACGGAAAGACCCCGUGAACCUUUACUAUAGCUUGACACUGAACAUUGAGCCUUGAUGUGUAGGAUAGGUGGGAGGCUUUGAAGCGUGGACGCCAGUCUGCGUGGAGCCAACCUUGAAAUACCACCCUUUAAUGUUUGAUGUUCUAACGUUGGCCCCUUACCGGGGUUGCGGACAGUGUCUGGUGGGUAGUUUGACUGGGGCGGUCUCCUCCCAAAGCGUAACGGAGGAGCACGAAGGUUAGCUAAUCCUGGUCGGACAUCAGGAGGUUAGUGCAAUGGCAUAAGCUAGCUUGACUGCGAGCGUGACGGCGCGAGCAGGUGCGAAAGCAGGUCAUAGUGAUCCGGUGGUUCUGAAUGGAAGGGCCAUCGCUCAACGGAUAAAAGGUACUCCGGGGAUAACAGGCUGAUACCGCCCAAGAGUUCAUAUCGACGGCGGUGUUUGGCACCUCGAUGUCGGCUCAUCACAUCCUGGGGCUGAAGUAGGUCCCAAGGGUAUGGCUGUUCGCCAUUUAAAGUGGUACGCGAGCUGGGUUUAGAACGUCGUGAGACAGUUCGGUCCCUAUCUGCCGUGGGCGCUGGAGAAUUGAGGGGGGCUGCUCCUAGUACGAGAGGACCGGAGUGGACGCAUCACUGGUGUUCGGGUUGUCAUGCCAAUGGCACUGCCCGGUAGCUAAAUGCGGAAGAGAUAAGUGCUGAAAGCAUCUAAGCACGAAACUUGCCCCGAGAUGAGUUCUCCCUGAGACUUUAAGUCUCCUGAAGGAACGUU